GAUAUAGCAGGAACUAUUGACAGAGUACCAUUGAAUAUUCAGAGAGCGAAUAUACCUGAUGAAGGCUCAUAGAGCACUUGUGUGUCUGACAGGGCAGUGACGUUCAUUAGCAAAAGUGUCAUGAUUUACUCUAAUGUCGUUGUUUGUUGAUGGCUUCUCACACUUUCAUGCAUACAAUGUGUUGCAUGUUUGUGUGUAAAUGUGACCAGUUGUUUAUUUUUCCCUCUCAUCUACACUGACAUUUUCAAACACUGGUGCUUUGUAAAUUGUGACCAAGAACAAGAUUAGUCUCUCACAUAGCAUGUUUCAUGUUAUGCUUCAGUGAAAACAGGCUGCUUUUACAAUAUCUAACAGCAGUGAAGUGACCGUAACUGCAUGCACCAUUUGGAAUGCAUGUGCUUCCUCCCAUUCGAGUGCAUUCUGGGAUAGAUGAAUAACCUCCAUGGUAACCCAGCUCCCAUUUUUGAAUACUAACCUCUUCUUUUGCUUUCAGGACGGUUAUUAGAACCCUAAUGGUAUUGCAUGCCACAUGUGACAAUUGCCUUUUGUUUGUGUACAUUUUUGAUGGCAACUUUCUUUCAAUGGAAUUGUAAUUUAAAUUAGGCAUAAUUUUAGGCCUAGAACAGAAGAUUUAAGAUCUAAUAUGACCAUUAGUGAUGGUGUUUUCUUAUUCUAGUAAUGUAAGAUUAACAUCAGAUAAAUGUAAGAAUAUGUGUUGAGAUAAGCUUAGGUCUUGCUCCAGGUCUUGUUGCAUGCUAAAUGUGUGUUAGUGCCGUUGUGCUAGCCCAGUUGUCUGACUGAGAGGUGUUUGAUUGACAGCUGAGGAUUUGUGACUGGCCCGUGAAUCAAAACAUCAGGUCAUAUGGCUCAGAGGAGGCUUUGGGGAUUUCUUGGCAAAGUCCUGGUACCUGGGCGAGCUUAAUUCCAUUCCAAGUGUCGAACGGGACUCCGAUUCUGCCAACAAAUGUCCAGAAUUACAGCAUAAACAUCAUUGGUGAGCCCCUCCUCCAGGCAGAAUCAAGCAAUUGAACUGGACCCCGGAGAGACAGGUCCUCGGACAAACCAGCUAACAGCACUUAUACAAUCGACAUGGACCUUUGUCCCACCCUCUCAAGGACAUUGGCUUAGAGCAGUAGAGUGAGUCGGGUCAAAGUGUUCUCUUCUGACAUGAGCCUCUCCACACCAGUCAGUCAUUGUGUAAGGAGGCCCCUGAACUGAGAUACUGUGAUCUUUACCAUACAAACUUUAGAUGCCUUACUGUAUAUGCAUGACAUGCUAGUCUCUCUUGUUAGUGUUUCUCUUGUUCUUAUGUCACGAUUGCUAGUCUUGGUUUACGAAACGAUUUAGAGGGGGCUGGCCACACAAGGGCUGGCUGGCUGGAUGGUUUGUAAAGCGGGCUGCAAUUCGAACAAACUUUCAUCAAACAGAGGUUUAUCGUAUUCGUAACAUAAACAUAGGAACAAUUUUCAAUGAACUGAAUGUUUCUAUUUUCAUAUUACCCUCAACAUGUAAUGUACCUACGGUGGAAAACCUUUUAAAUCCGUAAUCUUGUCAGUCCUGUACUAAUUUCCUUUAAAGGUAAAGGUUGGAAUUUACUCUCCAGAGUUGAGAACUCUGAAAACCUUUUUUUUUUUCUUCUUCUUUCUUCAAUGAAAGAAAACACCUAUAUUACUAGGUAAGAAAUACAACCCCUUUUUUCAUUUUCAUUUUUUUUUUUUUUUAUAUAUUUCCUUUGAAAAGGAUUUUGAGAAAAAUAAGACAAUAUCUCAUAAGAGGCAAGUGCAAUUUAAAUGAUUUUACUGAAGGGAAGCUAUCAUAGUCUGUCUGCCCUAAGACUCUAAAGGAAUGGGGAGUAAAUGUUUUUAGGUGAACUUUAAAACAUAAAGAAGAAAAAUGAAAUAAAAAUCACAU
This is a long non-coding RNA of Rhinichthys klamathensis goyatoka, 1911 nucleotides long. RefSeq lists it as uncharacterized. The record is from RefSeq and is a predicted model, not a curated record. The transcript has 2 exons. Lineage: Eukaryota; Metazoa; Chordata; Actinopteri; Cypriniformes; Leuciscidae.